RNAcentral lists this ribosomal RNA (1134 nucleotides) under Prevotella corporis. RNAcentral's name for it is "partial 23S ribosomal RNA". It matches the Rfam family "Bacterial large subunit ribosomal RNA", at positions 698 to 1826 of the family's 2925-position model. The record is from RNAcentral. Lineage: Bacteria; Pseudomonadati; Bacteroidota; Bacteroidia; Bacteroidales; Prevotellaceae.
AGUCGGAUGGGGUAGACGCGAAACCAAGUGAUCUACACUUGCCCAGGUUGAAGUUCCGGUAACACGGAAUGGAGGACCGAACCAAUAAGCGUUGAAAAGCUUCUGGAUGAGGUGAGUGUAGGAGUGAAAGGCCAAUCAAACUUGGAGAUAGCUCGUACUCCCCGAAAGGCAUUUAGGUGCCGCGUGCAGUGUUCUCCAUGAGAGGUAGAGCGACCGAUAGGUCAAGAGGGCUUCACCGCCUAUCGCGACCUGACGAACUCCGAAUGCUCAUGGACGGUAGCUGUGCAGUAAGGGGGCGGGUGCUAAGGUCCGUCCCCGAGAGGAGAAGAAUCCUGACCGCCGUCUAAGGUCCCGAAAUUCUGUGCUUAGUUAGUCUAACGAAGUCUGGUCCCCGUGACAGCUAGGAUGUUGGCUUGGAAGCAGCCAUUCAUUCAAAGAGUGCGUAACAGCUCACUAGUCGAGGGUCCGGGCGUGGAUAAUAAUCGGGUAUAAGCCAGAUACCGAAGACGCGGGAUAGCAUUGUAUAUAAAAAGUAUCGGUAGGGGAGCAUUCCAUCGACGCAGAAUGGUGAUAUUGAUUGAUCCUGGAGUUUAUGGAAAAGCAAAUGUAGGUAUAAGUAACGAUAAAAAGGGUGUGAUUCCCUUUCGCCGUAAGACCGAGGUUUCCCGGGCGAUGCCAAUCAGCCCGGGGUGAGUCGGGUCCUAAGCCUCAGCCGAAUGGCGAUGGCGAUGGCAGACACGGUUAAUAUUCCGUGACUUGCGCAUAUAGCGAUGUGGAGACGGAGCAGUGACACUGUCGCGUCCUGACGGAAAUGGGCGUUGAAGGUUGUAGGCGUUGAGGGAUACAGGCAAAUCCGUAUUCCGAGCUGAAUUCCGACAGUACGGUCUUCUUUUCGGAGACGACCGACAGCACAGGUAAUCAUACUCCCUAGAAAAUCCGCUAAGCAUAUGUUUGCGCAACCCGUACCGCAAACGGACACACGUGGUCGGGUAGAACAUACCAAGGCGUUGAGAGAUUCAUGGUUAAGGAACUAGGCAAACUGACCCCGUAACUUCGGGAAAAGGGGUCCUCAUGGCGACAUGAGGCGCAGAGAAUAGGUCCAGGCAACUGUUUAACAAAAACACAGGGCUGUGC